Molecule: ribosomal RNA, 475 nt
Filed under: uncultured soil bacterium
Lineage: Bacteria
Description: bacterial SSU rRNA
Rfam family: Bacterial small subunit ribosomal RNA
Source: RNAcentral
AGAGUUUGAUCCUGGCUCAGGACGAACGCUGGCGGCAUGCUUAACACAUGCAAGUCACGGGGGCGGAGCAAUCCGCAACCGGCGAACGGGUGCGUAACACGUGAGCAAUCUACCGAUUUGAGGGGGAUAGCCGGCCCAACGGCCGGGUAAUACCGCAUACGCUCACCGAGCGGAGUCGUUUGGUGAGGAAACCUCCGGGGCAAAUCGAGGAGCUCGCGGCCUAUCAGCUCGUUGGCGGGGUAACGGCCCACCAAGGCGACGACGGGUAGCUGGUCUGAGAGGAUGGCCAACCACAUUGGGACUGAGAGACGGCCCAGACUCCUACGGGAGGCAGCAGUGGGGAAUCUUGCGCAAUGGCCGCAAGGCUGACGCAGCGACGCCGCGUGUGGGAGGACGCCCUUCGGGGUGUAAACCACUGUUGCCCGGGACGAAUGCCCCUUCGAGGGGAGUGACGGUACCGGGAGAAAGCCCCGAG